Maribacter dokdonensis DSW-8 is the source of this 94-nucleotide non-coding RNA. Lineage: Bacteria; Pseudomonadati; Bacteroidota; Flavobacteriia; Flavobacteriales; Flavobacteriaceae. The record is from Rfam.
UGUAGACUUUAGGAGUAGCUAUUUCAUAGUUUGAGAAAUAUCCUUAGAACCUGAUUUGAUUAAUAUCAACGUAGGGAAAAGUUAUCGGGAACAA